CCUGACUGCUAUCGGAUUGAUACUAAGCCAUGCGAGUCAUUGUAGCAAUACAAGGCAUACGGCUCAGUAACGCGUAGUCAACCUAACCUAUGGACGGGAAUAGCCUCGGGAAACUGAGAAUAAUGCUCGAUAGAACACUAUACCUGGAAUGGUUUGUGUUCCAAAUGAUUUAUCGCCAUAGGAUGGGACUGCGGCCUAUCAGUUUGUUGGUGAGGUAAUGGCCCACCAAGACUAUUACAGGUACGGGCUCUGAGAGGAGUAGCCCGGAGAUGGGUACUGAGACACGGACCCAGGCCCUAUGGGGCGCAGCAGGCGAGAAAACUUUGCAAUGUGCGAAAGCACGACAAGGUUAAUCCGAGUGAUUUGUGCUAAACGAAUCUUUUGUUAGUCCUAGAAACACUGACGAAUAAGGGGUGGGCAAGUUCUGGUGUCAGCCGCCGCGGUAAAACCAGCACCUCAAGUGGUCAGGAUGAUUAUUGGGCCUAAAGCAUCCGUAGCCGGCUCUGUAAGUUUUCGGUUAAAUCUGUACGCUUAACGUACAGGCUGCCGGGAAUACUGCAGAGCUAGGGAGUGGGAGAGGUAGACGGUACUCGGUAGGAAGUGGUAAAAUGCUUUGAUCUAUCGAUGACCACCUGUGGCGAAGGCGGUCUACCAGAACACGUCCGACGGUGAGGGAUGAAAGCUGGGGGAGCAAACCGGAUUAGAUACCCGGGUAGUCCCAGCUGUAAACUAUGCAAACUCAGUGAUGCAUUGGCUUGUGGCCAAUGCAGUGCUGCAGGGAAGCCGUUAAGUUUGCCGCCUGGGAAGUACGUACGCAAGUAUGAAACUUAAAGGAAUUGGCGGGGGAGCACCACAAGGGGUGAAGCCUGCGGUUCAAUUGGAGUCAACGCCGGA
This 894-nucleotide ribosomal RNA is filed under the name uncultured marine group I thaumarchaeote. RNAcentral describes it as "bacterial SSU rRNA". It matches the Rfam family "Archaeal small subunit ribosomal RNA", at positions 21 to 922 of the family's 1478-position model. The record is from RNAcentral. Lineage: Archaea; Thermoproteati; Nitrososphaerota.